CCUCGUCUCUCCCAAAUCACUGCCACCAAUGCCUCGUCUCCCUCCUCUGACCCGCCUCGUCUCCCUUGCGCCGACCCUCCCCCUCCCCUCCUCCCACCUCACAGCUUCGGAGGCUGCCGGAUCCGCCACAUCCUCACCCAACCGUCCCUCUCGCUUCCCAUCCCACUCUCUUCACGCAGCUCCUCGCCGCGCUACCUGCGGCGGCUGCAUCAGGUGAUGUCCGGCGAAUCCCGCCAGCGCCAAGCACAGCCUGAGGUCCCUUUGCUCCGUGGAGCCCUCCCAUCUAGCUAGAUCGAGUGCUUGCUGCCACCAAAGCCCACCCGCAACUCAUCCCCCAUGGCUAGGGUUUCGGGCGUCGAUCCGGUGCCGGUGGCCAUGUCGUCCUCGUCUCAUCCGACGUGCGGGGAGGAAUGGGCAGUGGACAACCUUGCUGCGGCUCGGGAUGAAGCAGCCACGAGCUUCCUCCUCCUCCGGCUUCAGGCUAAUUACUAAAUCAAUCUAACGAUGGUUCAUGUGGCAGUGGAGGUUUACCAACGGUAGUUUGAAGCAGAUUAGGCGACGGCGGGAUCUUCGGCGGCGAGGCCGUCCAGUGAAGGAAAUGGCGGUCUGGCGAUUUGUGUUCUAUUCUCCAUCCUUUAAGCUCAUAACAGAAGAAAGAACUAUACAAUCACUAUUGUUUUAUUAAGAAAAAAACCUAUCAUGUACGGAUGUUUUGAUGAGUACUCCUCUUGACUCGAUUGUGUUGUAGGGAGUGAAAGCAUCCAGUUGCGGUGGUCUGCAGCUCUGGUCGCCUCCAGCAGCACCACAUAAUCAAAGUUCCAAAUAGUAGUGUUGGACUGCUGCCUCCAGCCAACCAUAACAUAAUCAUUGGAUUUGCUUGUUAUGUAGAAGAUUUGAGUGAUCUGCACGCACCAACUAGAUGUAGGGGGACACCAUGGAAGGCUAUGUCGUAUAUUGUGGCGUCUGGAUUAGUUGUCAAUGAUCACUAACACUCAUGCCGGUAUAUUUCCAGAAUCAUAACAAGGACGUAGUUCUUGCUACAGUUCUAAGUUAUGAUCCUGAAUUUAAACUUAAUGGUGCUGAAAUUCAAAUGCAUUUUGGGCAGUGUAAUACAAAACUUGCGAAAACUGAAGAUUUGGUACAGAGUCGCAAAAACUGCAAUACUAAUGAUUGAAAAGAUAUAUGGAUGAUUAUAUGGGUGCGUAACAAGUAUACUGCAAUGAUGAUGAUGACGACGACGACGAUGAUAUUCUGGUUCAUGAUGAUGAUGAUGGAUGCUUUCAAUUUUAGUUAAGUUGUGGAAUGUUCCUGUUGGACGAUGUUCCUCAGUUAGUUUUAGUCAAGUUGUAGGGAUAUUGAGGAUGAUUUUAGUAUAGAUUUUGCUGUCAAGAAAAUUUUAGAUUAUGCAUCACAUUUGGAUGAUGUUCCUCCUGUAAUAUCCAUUAUUGUAAUCCAACAGUUUUAUCUGAUAUAUGAUUUCUUCCUCUUGUGAGUA
Molecule: non-coding RNA, 1495 nt
Organism: Aegilops tauschii subsp. strangulata
Lineage: Eukaryota; Viridiplantae; Streptophyta; Magnoliopsida; Poales; Poaceae
Source: RefSeq, a predicted model, not a curated record